Molecule: long non-coding RNA, 466 nt
Filed under: Nicotiana benthamiana
Lineage: Eukaryota; Viridiplantae; Streptophyta; Magnoliopsida; Solanales; Solanaceae
Description: long non-coding RNA (NBEN_LNC036664)
Source: RNAcentral
AAGUCGGGUAUGCCUAUUCAACAUAAACUAAGGCGCUGGGUAGAUCGUAGAUUGCCGGGUAUGAAUUCGAUUCUAAGUCGGAGAAUGCCCAUGAAUAGGGUCUUAUUACAGAAUCCGCAGUUUUGAAAGUAGCCCUAGACAGAUCAUUGCUAAGAGGAGAGCAGGGAAUUUCUUGCUAAUCAGGUCUGCAGUUUUGAAAGUAGCCCUAGGCAGAUCAUUGAUAAGAGGAGAGCAGGGAAUUUAUUGCUAAUCAGGUGCUAUCAUCGUAUUAUAAUGAUUAUUCCGAGCCAAGAAAUACUCAGUCCUCUCCUUCUCUUAGCCAAAUCCGUUCAAACAAAGGUGUGGGAUUCCCCUAAGGACCGACGGGUUAGAUCAGAGCAAGUUCCUCCCGGUGUCUUUAUUAGCUAGUAGGCUUAUUAGACAGGAUCUAACAGCAGGAACGAGCAAAGCGAGAGGCUGACUAAGG